This 641-nucleotide ribosomal RNA is filed under the name uncultured Terrimonas sp. Its description in RNAcentral is "bacterial SSU rRNA". It matches the Rfam family "Bacterial small subunit ribosomal RNA", at positions 28 to 658 of the family's 1533-position model. Lineage: Bacteria; Pseudomonadati; Bacteroidota; Chitinophagia; Chitinophagales; Chitinophagaceae. The record is from RNAcentral.
GAUGAACGCUAGCGGCAGGCUUAAUACAUGCAAGUCGUGGGGCAGCAUGGGUGUAGCAAUACAUCUGAUGGCGACCGGCAAACGGGUGCGGAACACGUACACAACCUUCCUUUUAGUGGAGAAUAGCCCAGGGAAACUUGGAUUAAUACUCCGUAACAUAUAGAAGUGGCAUCGCUUUUAUAUUAUAGCAGCAAUGCGCUAGAAGAUGGGUGUGCGGCUGAUUAGAUAGUUGGCGGGGUAACGGCCCACCAAGUCGACGAUCAGUAACUGGUGUGAGAGCACGACCAGUCACACGGGCACUGAGACACGGGCCCGACUCCUACGGGAGGCAGCAGUAAGGAAUAUUGGUCAAUGGACGCAAGUCUGAACCAGCCAUGCCGCGUGGAGGAUGAAGGUCCUCUGGAUUGUAAACUUCUUUUAUCUGGGAAGAAAUCCAUUUUUUCUAAAAUGGUUGACGGUACCAGAUGAAUAAGCACCGGCUAACUCCGUGCCAGCAGCCGCGGUAAUACGGAGGGUGCAAGCGUUAUCCGGAUUCACUGGGUUUAAAGGGUGCGUAGGUGGGCAAGUAAGUCAGUGGUGAAAUCUCCGGGCUUAACCCGGAAACUGCCAUUGAUACUAUUUGUCUUGAAUACUGUGGAGGU